Cucurbita moschata (crookneck pumpkin) is the source of this 218-nucleotide long non-coding RNA. RefSeq lists it as uncharacterized. The transcript is spliced from 3 exons. The record is from RefSeq and is a predicted model, not a curated record. NCBI's taxonomy places the organism in Eukaryota, Viridiplantae, Streptophyta, Magnoliopsida, Cucurbitales, Cucurbitaceae.
AUCUUUCUUGUUCUUCGUUUUUGCAUUGGUUGCUUGAUUACUUUUAGAGGUUUAGAAAUAAUCUAUGUUGAAGUUUCUGAUAGUGUCGCUUUGAUUUUCAUUCUUAGACAAUUGAAUCCAGAAUUGGGUAACUUUUGAUCAUGGUAGUGUUUCCUUAUAGUGCCAGAUUUUCGUGUAUACUGCCCGAAAGUCGGUUCGUAUUGUGGAGGUUCGUGGUU